CUACGGGAUGCAGCAGUGAGGAAUUUUGCGCAAUGGGGGGAACCCUGACGCAGCAACGCCGCGUGAGUGAUGAAGGCUUUCGGGUCGUAAAGCUCUGUCAAGUGGGAAGAACCUAUGCAGUGUUAAUAUCACUGUAUACUGACGGUACCACUGAAGGAAGCACCGGCUAACUCCGUGCCAGCAGCCGCGGUAAUACGGGGGGUGCAAGCGUUAUUCGGAAUCAUUGGGCGUAAAGGGCACGUAGGCGGCUUGGUAAGUCAGAUGUGAAAGCCCGGGGCUUAACCCCGGAAGUGCAUUUGAUACUGUCAGGCUUGAGUAUGGGAGAGGGAAGUGGAAUUCCUGGAGUAGAGGUGAAAUUCGUAGAUAUCAGGAGGAACACCGGUGGCGAAGGCGACUUCCUGGACCAAUACUGACGCUGAGGUGCGAAGGCGUGGGUAGCAAACAGGAUUAGAUACCCGCGUAGUC
This 465-nucleotide ribosomal RNA is filed under the name uncultured bacterium. Its description in RNAcentral is "partial 16S ribosomal RNA". It matches the Rfam family "Bacterial small subunit ribosomal RNA", at positions 339 to 795 of the family's 1533-position model. The record is from RNAcentral.